CAGCCGCCGCGGGAAUACAGAGGGUGCAAGCGUUAAUCGGAAUUACUGGGCGUAAAGCGCGCGUAGGUGGUUUGUUAAGUUGGAUGUGAAAUCCCCGGGCUCAACCUGGGAACUGCAUCCAAAACUGGCAAGCUAGAGUAUGGUAGAGGGUGGUGUAAUUUCCUGUGUAGCGGUGAAAUGCGUAGAUAUAGGAAGGAACACCAGUGGCGAAGGCGACCACCUGGACUGAUACUGACACUGAGGUGCGAAAGCGUGGGGAGCAAACAGGAUUAGAUACCCCAGUAGUCCCUGUCUCUUAUAC
RNAcentral lists this ribosomal RNA (301 nucleotides) under uncultured bacterium. Its description in RNAcentral is "partial 16S ribosomal RNA". It matches the Rfam family "Bacterial small subunit ribosomal RNA", at positions 509 to 807 of the family's 1533-position model. The record is from RNAcentral.